Small nuclear RNA from Thunnus maccoyii (southern bluefin tuna), 102 nucleotides. NCBI's taxonomy places the organism in Eukaryota, Metazoa, Chordata, Actinopteri, Scombriformes, Scombridae. The record is from RefSeq and is a predicted model, not a curated record.
GUGCUUGCUAAGGUAGCACACAUGAAAAAUUGUAAUCAAUACAGAGAAGAUUAGCACGGAUGCAAGGAUGACACAUUAACUUGUGAAGCAUUUACAUAUUUU